UCACCUACACACACAAUCACCACAUCUUCAUCUUUUUUUCAAAUUUCAUUCUAUAUAUAAGAUUAUAUUAGUUUGUCUUAGAUUAGUUUAGUUUACAUUAGGUGGUUUAGGUUUAGGUCAGUUUGACAAGUAUUUCUCUUGUUGUUUCUUUUGUCUUGAACUUCUGUCAGCAGGAUGCCAAGGAAGUCGAGGCGGUCUGUGGUGUUGAAGCAGCGCUGGAGGAAGCUCAACCUGGAAGAGCUGAGGUCUUCCCCCACCCCCCCGGAGACGGUGUCCCCCCCGGCUGGAGAGGAGCCUUCCAGAGGGUCAAGGACCAAGAGGACCAGGGAGACCCACCCCCCCUGCUCCCGAGCUCCAGUCGGCAACGCAGUUGGAUCUUCACCCCCAGCCAAGCCUUUCUGGAGCCCGGAGGAUGUGCAAGUUCGUGCACGCCGUGGUACCGGUUACCGCCAUCGGUGAAGACGUGGCCAACUUCGAAGCUCACUGGACGGAGUUGGUCAUCCCACCGGAGUCUCCCGGCAAGCAGUUUGUUCUGAUUGUCGGGGACUCCCAUCUCCGGGCCAUCGUGGACCGGUUCGCCAAGAUGCCAGAAGGAAAGUUUUCUUUUGGUAUCAUGUCGACCCCUGGGGCCCAUGCUGCUCAGCUGCGCACUGAGGUCCUACAUGCUAAGGUUCCUCAAGACCCUGAUGCUGUUUGUGUUCUUGCUCCUAGCAACAACCUGACCGCGAGCAGGACCGUCGACGAGGCAGCCGUCGACUACGCACGAUUCCUCACCGCUGUGAGGAGCCGCUGGUCGAAGGUCUUUGUGGUGGACUUCCCUCCCCGCCUGAACGAGGAUGAGGAGCACCAGAGGGCCCUUCGCCAUGCGUACCAUCGCGUGACAGCUCGUAUGGGUUUGAGGUACUUCUCUGCGGAGGAGUACUUCCCCCGUACGCGCUUGGAUCUGUGGAGCAGAGACGGCGUUCACCUGAGCGACCGUGAGGGGAUGGGGAUCCUCACCCAGCUGCUGUGGGCCUCCACCGAGCAGUUCCUCGAGACACCACCACCACCUCCCCCGGUGUCUCCUACUCCUUCACAGCCGCUUAGGAAGGUUUCUCCUAAGCUGGUUGUGAAGGGAGAGGUACGUGCUCCUCUGUCUCCUGACCCCUUCCAGUGGAAGGUCGUUGGUCAGAGCUGCAAGGUUAGUAGGGUUUUUCUUUUUUAUUUAUUAUAUUAUGUGUCUUUACAUGUGUUUGUGUACAUUUUGGUUCACGGGUUCACAGUCAUAACUAAAAAGCACCUAUUUAAUCAAAUAUGUGAUGUGCUUUCCCAGCCGCAGGUUCCUGGUCCGGCCAGCGUGGCUCAGCAGCAGGAGAAGGAGUCCUUCCUUCCACUGAACCCACGAUGGUUCAGUAGCACGACCCUUUGUGCUAUGGAGGAAGUGUCUCCUUCUCAGCUGUCUGACGUGGUGGACGUCCCAUCUCCUCCAGCGCGCAAGAAGGUGGCCUCCCCAGUGGCAGCCAGGCGUCAUAGGACCACGGAGAGACGCCCCCCCCGCCACCAGUCUCCUGUGAACAAUCAGGUUGGAUCCCCUCCAGCCAGGCUGUCACGGAGACUGGAGGACGACGGCCCCUCCAGCCCGGUUCCUCGGUCCAGGACCACGAAUGGAACACCCCCCCGCACCCAUACUUCAGUGACCAACCAGCUGGUUGGAUCCCCUCCAGUCAGGUUGUCCUGUGGUUUGGGUGAUCCGGCGACCCCCUGCUAUGGCCAGGCUGAAGACCCCUUCACCGGCUGGACUGUCCCAGACCAUUAAAGCUGCAGCCUAUCACUCUCCUCGCCCAGCUAAGGUAUUACCUCCACAACUGACACACACAGAAUGCUUAUUGUAAAAUCAGCUGUAACUACAUUAAACUGGUUCAUUUAACAUCUCUGAUACCCAUAUCUUUCUCUGCAGUUCACAAAUGUCAGUGAGUAAUUUAAAUACAUUUGGAAAACUUGUAUCAACUUGCUGCAUUGUGUUGCCUCAUGUCCAAAUAUUAACUGGUGUUAUGACUUAUCACAGACGACCUGGACACCUUCAUCGACCUGCUGGCCCUGGAUCAUCGAUGAUGGACUCUCCACCUCUCAUUCCCCUUCCAAAGAGGAUGAUCCAGUGAGAAGGACCCUCUCUCCAGCAAAGACAACAACCCAGAAGAAAAUAAGGGAAG
RNA transcript from Acanthopagrus latus (yellowfin seabream), 2189 nucleotides. RefSeq lists it as uncharacterized. Lineage: Eukaryota; Metazoa; Chordata; Actinopteri; Spariformes; Sparidae. The record is from RefSeq and is a predicted model, not a curated record. The transcript has 14 exons.